CAGUCGCCGCGGGAAUACGUAGGUGGCAAGCGUUGUCCGGAAUUAUUGGGCGUAAAGGGCUCGCAGGCGGUUUCUUAAGUCUAAUGUGAAAGCCCCCGGCUCAACCGGGGAGGGUCAUUGGAAACUGGGAAACUUGAGUGCAGAAGAGGAGAGUGGAAUUCCACGUGUAGCGGUGAAAUGCGUAGAGAUGUGGAGGAACACCAGUGGCGAAGGCGACUCUCUGGUCUGCAACUGACGCUGAGGAGCGAAAGCGUGGGGAGCGAACAGGAUUAGAUACCCCCGUAGUCCCUGUCUCUUAUAC
This 301-nucleotide ribosomal RNA is filed under the name uncultured bacterium. Its description in RNAcentral is "partial 16S ribosomal RNA". It matches the Rfam family "Bacterial small subunit ribosomal RNA", at positions 509 to 807 of the family's 1533-position model. The record is from RNAcentral.